GACGAACGCUGGCGGCGUGCUUAACACAUGCAAGUCGAACGGAAAGGCCCUGCUUUUGUGGGGUGCUCGAGUGGCGAACGGGUGAGUAACACGUGAGUAACCUGCCCUUGACUUUGGGAUAACUUCAGGAAACUGGGGCUAAUACCGGAUAGGAGCUCCUGCUGCAUGGUGGGGGUUGGAAAGUUUCGGCGGUUGGGGAUGGACUCGCGGCUUAUCAGCUUGUUGGUGGGGUAGUGGCUUACCAAGGCUUUGACGGGUAGCCGGCCUGAGAGGGUGACCGGCCACAUGGGGACUGAGAUACGGCCCAGACUCCUACGGGAGGCAGCAGUGGGGAAUAUUGCACAAGGGGCGGAAGCCUGAUGCAGCAACGCCGCGUGCGGGAGGACGGCCUUCGGGUUGUAAACCGCUUUCGCCUGUGACGAAGCGUGAGUGACGGUAAUGGGUAAAGAAGCACCGGCUAACUACGU
Molecule: ribosomal RNA, 467 nt
Filed under: uncultured bacterium
Lineage: Bacteria
Description: partial 16S ribosomal RNA
Rfam family: Bacterial small subunit ribosomal RNA
Source: RNAcentral